AUGAGAGAGAGCUAGCAGGGCAGAAGUCACGCUCACACAUAAUCAUGGAAGUGACAUUCAUCACUUCUGAUGUCUUCUAUCGUCAGAGCAAGUCCCCACAUCGGCAUUCCCACACAAGGAGAGAGAAUUAUGCAAGUGCAUGAAUAUUAAAAGGUGGAGUAAAAAUUAGCAAGAAAGAAGAGAAACCUUCAAGUCCUCAUACCUUAAGUGAGUUGGUCUGGAAUAUAUUCCCACUUUUUGGCACUGGCCCAAAUCCUACACACUCUUCAAAAUCCCCCUCAAACUUCCUGAAGAAAGACUGCACACACCAGUCCCCUUCUCCCGGCUCCUUCGCACCUUCUUGGAACACUGCGUUACAAAUGUUUGCUCUGUCACCCGGAAGGAUCCAUGAACUGCUGAAGGCAGCACAGUGCGAAGCGCUUGGGGCAGCUUUGCGUGUUUCUCCUGUCCUACAAUGCUGGGAAGAAUAGUUGAAGCUUAUACUCUAAGCAUGUGACACUCCCCAGAGGAUAGAAAUACAGUCUGCAGCACAGUGCCAAAUAGCAUUGGUCUUGUAUCAGAAAACUCGGCUGUCUUGACGUCACUGUUUACCAAAUGUCAACUCAGCCAAAGUUCACAAGCUGAUGACAUGGAGAGGUGAUCUGAAGAAGAAAAAGGAGUACUCCAGAACAAGACCCUGUGAAAGGGUAAAGACCAGAUUUAUCAUUCAAGUCAUCAGUCCCAGGGAAUUCCCUGAAUAACCUGUCAUUAGCUUGAUUUCUCUGCCAUCCAACAACAUAUGAAGCUUAGGACUCGUCUCCAUAAUUAUCUGCAAGAAAGAAGGAUGCAUUUUCAUGGCCAGAAAUUAAUCAUUUUUAAACAGCUUUAUUGUGGUAUAAUUGACAUACAAUAAAUUAUACAUGCUUAAAUUGUACAGUUUAAGUUUUGGCAUAUAUAGGCAUCUGUUAAACUAUCACCACAAUCAAUAUAAUAAACAUCUCUAUCAGACCCCAAAGUUUCUCAUGUUCCCUUGUAAUGCUUCCCUCAUGCCCCACCUUCCAUAUCCCUUAAUCCUCAUCCCUAAGCAACCACUGGUCUGUUUUCUGAUAGUAGAGUUUGCACUUUCUAGAUUCUUAUACAGACAUGAUCAUAUGGUAUGUACUCUUUUUCAUCUGUUUUCUUUCACUCAGCAUAAUUCUUUUGAGAUCCACCCACGUUGUUAUACACAUGUAUCAAUAGUUAUUUUUUCAGCACAGUAUUCCAUUUUAUGGAUAUAGUACAAUUAACCUUUU
Long non-coding RNA from Ailuropoda melanoleuca (giant panda), 1271 nucleotides. RefSeq lists it as uncharacterized. The transcript is spliced from 5 exons. NCBI's taxonomy places the organism in Eukaryota, Metazoa, Chordata, Mammalia, Carnivora, Ursidae. The record is from RefSeq and is a predicted model, not a curated record.